UGGGGAAUAUUGCGCAAUGGGGGAAACCCUGACGCAGCAACGCCGCGUGAAGGAAGAAGGUUUUCGGAUUGUAAACUUCUUUUGUAAGGGACGAAAAAUGACGGUACCUUAAGAAUAAGCUCCGGCUAACUACGUGCCAGCAGCCGCGGUAAUACGUAGGGAGCAAGCGUUAUCCGGAUUUACUGGGUGUAAAGGGUGAGUAGGCGGGACAACAAGUCAGAUGUGAAAACUAUGGGCUCAACCAUAAAAUUGCCGUUGAAACUGGAAGACUUGAGUAUAUUUGAGGUAAGCGGAAUGCGUGGUGUAGCGGUGAAAUGCUUAGAUAUCACGCAGAACUCCAAUUGCGAAGGCAGCUUGCUAAACUAUAACUGACACUGAGGCACGAAAGCGUGGGUAUCAAACA
RNAcentral lists this ribosomal RNA (403 nucleotides) under uncultured bacterium. RNAcentral describes it as "bacterial SSU rRNA". It matches the Rfam family "Bacterial small subunit ribosomal RNA", at positions 355 to 774 of the family's 1533-position model. The record is from RNAcentral.